AUGCUGCUCUCUCCACUGGCUCCCUCCACGUCUCCUGGCUCCCUGACCACUUGGCUCCACCACUGCUUUCUUUACCCUUUAGGAUGCUUCCACCGUCCAAAGCUGGACCACUCUCCUUCUCCACAGUGCCAGAGGUGCCUCACAAGAAAGGAAUACAAUUCAGACAGAAAUUUGUCAAGAAGACCCGCAGAGGCUGAAGAAAUAACAUCACAAAUCAUGAGUCUACCCAAGGGCACGUCUGUUCCCAAGAAUUUAUCUUUGGUUUUGCUACCCAGAAGAAAAAGAAGACCCUGGUGGCACUGUGUGCUCAUAAAACAAAAGAGAAGAAAUAAAUUAUGA
This 339-nucleotide long non-coding RNA is filed under the name Anser brachyrhynchus (Pink-footed goose). RNAcentral describes it as "lncRNA (ENSABRG00000014741.1)". The record is from RNAcentral. Lineage: Eukaryota; Metazoa; Chordata; Aves; Anseriformes; Anatidae.